Molecule: ribosomal RNA, 460 nt
Filed under: uncultured bacterium
Lineage: Bacteria
Description: partial 16S ribosomal RNA
Rfam family: Bacterial small subunit ribosomal RNA
Source: RNAcentral
CCUACGGGAGGCAGCAGUGAGGAAUAUUGGUCAAUGGGCGAUAGCCUGAACCAGCCAAGUAGCGUGAAGGAUGACGGCCCUAUGGGUUGUAAACUUCUUUUAUAUGGGAGUAAAGUGCAGUAUGUAUACUGCUUUGCAUGUACCUUAUGAAUAAGGAUCGGCUAACUCCGGGCCAGCAGCCGCGGUAAUACGGAGGAUCCGAGCGUUAUCCGGAUUUAUUGGGUUUAAAGGGAGCGUAGGCGGGUUGUUAAGUCAGUUGUGAAAGUUUGCGGCUCAACCGUAAAAUUGCAGUUGAUACUGGCAGCCUUGAGUACAGUAGAGGUAGGCGGAAUUCGUGGUGUAGCGGUGAAAUGCUUAGAUAUCACGAAGAACUCCGAUUGCGAAGGCAGUUUGCUGGACUGUAACUGACGCUGAUGCUCGAAAGUGUGGGUAUCAAACAGGAUUAGAUACCCUAGUAGUC